This 65-nucleotide transfer RNA is filed under the name Ruditapes philippinarum (Manila clam). RNAcentral describes it as "tRNA-Val". The record is from RNAcentral. Lineage: Eukaryota; Metazoa; Mollusca; Bivalvia; Venerida; Veneridae.
CAGGAAAUAGCAUAUAUAGAAGUGUGUUUUGUUUACACCAAAAAAGAGGGUUAACCCUUUUCUGU